RNAcentral lists this transfer-messenger RNA (370 nucleotides) under Bacteroidia. RNAcentral describes it as "JACVCJ01 sp016742095 Standard tmRNA". It matches the Rfam family "transfer-messenger RNA". From Rfam's summary of the family: Bacterial tmRNA, also known as 10Sa RNA or SsrA, is named for its dual tRNA and mRNA-like properties. Its role is to liberate the mRNA from a stalled ribosome. The record is from RNAcentral. RNAcentral also lists the same sequence under 1 other name. Lineage: Bacteria; Pseudomonadati; Bacteroidota.
GGGGUCGACUGGUUUUGACAGCGCGGCAGGUCGGUAGGUAAGCACGUAGGGGGCUGUUGGUUUCCCCUCAAAUCUCGACCAUCAACUUUCAAGUGGCAAUAGCUACAACUUUGCAAUGGCUGCCUAAUCAGUAAGAUUAGCAACAUGCGGUUUCCCCUGGUCCGAGCCUUUAGGAUCAGGUCCGGAAGCCUCGAUCAAAUAAGGCUGGUCCCUGCUGUGUUGCGGUGCAGGGAUAAGAAACAGCAACUAAGUCCGUAAUUAGGGUGUCUGUCCUCAGGUUGCGGGCCUACAAUGCAAAGGCAGAAUAAACGUGUAGAAAGCUUAUGGGUCACGUGUUUGGACGAGGGUUCGAAUCCCUCCGGCUCCACAA